RNAcentral lists this transfer RNA (73 nucleotides) under Bacillus anthracis (anthrax bacterium). Its description in RNAcentral is "tRNA-Glu". The stretch from base 5 to 67 matches the Rfam family "tRNA", at positions 5 to 66 of the family's 71-position model. Rfam says of the family: Transfer RNA (tRNA) molecules are approximately 80 nucleotides in length. Their secondary structure includes four short double-helical elements and three loops (D, anti-codon, and T loops). Further hydrogen bonds mediate the characteristic L-shaped molecular structure. tRNAs have two regions of fundamental functional importance: the anti-codon, which is responsible for specific mRNA codon recognition, and the 3' end, to which the tRNAs corresponding amino acid is attached (by aminoacyl-tRNA synthetases). tRNAs cope with the degeneracy of the genetic code in two manners: having more than one tRNA (with a specific anti-codon) for a particular amino acid; and 'wobble' base-pairing, i.e. permitting non-standard base-pairing at the 3rd anti-codon position. Lineage: Bacteria; Bacillati; Bacillota; Bacilli; Caryophanales; Bacillaceae. The record is from RNAcentral.
GGCCCGUUGGUCAAGUGGUUAAGACACCGCCCUUUCACGGCGGUAACACGGGUUCGAAUCCCGUACGAUGUCG